Long non-coding RNA from Scatophagus argus, 1479 nucleotides. RefSeq lists it as uncharacterized. NCBI's taxonomy places the organism in Eukaryota, Metazoa, Chordata, Actinopteri, Scatophagidae. The transcript is spliced from 4 exons. The record is from RefSeq and is a predicted model, not a curated record.
UGAUUAAUACUAAAUUAAAAAAUAUUAAAAAUAAUAAAAGACGUUCCCCAAAGCCUCGGCUGUACUUUGUGUGUACUGAGCUAAUUAGCGGAUGUUAGCAUGCUAACUUGCCAAAGAUUACACCUGCGACACAGCGUGUUAGCAUCGUUAGCAUGGAGCCGAACACGUCAAUAGAUAAGGUAACUUAACCGCGGAGUUUCACGCAGAAAGGCGAACUUAACCGGACGGAACUCAGCUGGCCUUAUGUGUGCUAAUUAAAAGGAAAUUAUUUGGGAACUCUGGGAAUCACCAAUCAAGAGAGACCUGCGUAUUACAGUCUGAUUCAACUGGAGGGCGAUGUCGGAGUUUCCCAGCCCCUCCUCUCAGGGUUGACUGACUGACUCACUCAGCUGCUCAUCUACCGGGUCAAGGACAAGCUCGUACCCUCGCCGCCCAUCCCUCAGCGUCAAGCAUUCACUACCAACCUCCAGGGGAACGGCAGUGGCAGCCAGGGCCUGCUCGGUCUGCUCCUUAGACUGUCCCAACAUACAUGAAGACGAAGGUCACACGGGUGUAAAACGAAAUAUGGGUCUGACACUUGUAAGAGGUUUUUGGACAAAUCACCAGUGUCAGAGCCUCCAUCUCUUCAUCCACUUUCUUUGCACAGGUUUCUAACGCCUCUUUCCACCGGGCGACAUCCCAGGCCCGGUCACUUAACCUGCGAGAGGUGUCGCUUUCACCCCAGGUUGUCUGCAGAGGAAAAGCGCUAGCAAAUGACUGAGUGGAGGUUGAUAAAAUGUGAACGUACAAAAGAUUAUGUGGACAAGGCAAGGUGUAAUAUUCUUCAUCACAUCCAAGAAUGUGGCUGUGGCUGUCUGGCAGGGAUCCUCACAAAGAAGCACCCACCUUACAGUUGGUCUCGUUGCGUAGUGACCUCCCUUCCUGCCGGAUCACAUUGGAAACGGAUCGCUCAUGUUGUGCCGUGGCAGACAGCUCGUGGUUGUUGCUGUGCCACUCUGUCUCACUGUGGCGAAGGCCAGGCUUUGCAGGAAGUGCAGACAUCCUACUGUUACAGCGACAUGCAAACGUCCAAGUACAGUUUAAAAACAGACACAUACUGACACCAGCGGCAGAGCUCCUAUCAUUUGCAUAAGUAGUUAGUUUAAUGCACACCUGUUUCAGAUAUCAUCAUGUUUCAAAACAUGAUGCUACUUUAAAAUGAGGCUUUCUUUAAGAAGAAAAGAGAAAUAUUCCGUCCUUUUUUUUGUGAGAUUAUUCUGAAUAUUCUUCAGCAUCACUUAAUAUAAUAGUAUAUUUGAAUAUUGUACUGCAAUGACCCUUUAAAGUGACUCAAAAGUGGGUGUUGUGUUAUCAUACCGUACACAGUUAAUGUUAUGCUACAUUUAGCAUAACAUUUAACUGAGGAUGACUGAAGUUUGUCAACAGGGCGCUGUAGUGAAGUUGAAAUGGAACUUACAGUGACAGAUAUUAGGCACAACG